AUAUCAAUAAGCGGAGGAAAAGAAACCAACCGGGAUUGCCUCAGUAACGGCGAGUGAAGCGGCAACAGCUCAGAUUUGAAAGCCGAGUCCUCGACUUUGCAUUGUAAUCUGAAGAGGAAAUCUCGCGAACGAUUAGUCUCAAGUCUCCUGGAACGGAGCGUCAUGGAGGGUGAGAAUCCCGUGGAGAUGAAAUCCGACGCAUGUGAGAUUCCUUCGACGAGUCGAGUUGUUUGGGAAUGCAGCUCUAAUUGGGAGGUAAAUUCCUUCUAAAGCUAAAUAUCGGCUGGAGACCGAUAGCGCACAAGUAGAGUGAUCGAAAGAUGAAAAGCACUUUGAAAAGAGAGUCAAACAGCAC
RNAcentral lists this ribosomal RNA (355 nucleotides) under uncultured fungus. Its description in RNAcentral is "eukaryotic LSU rRNA". It matches the Rfam family "Eukaryotic large subunit ribosomal RNA", at positions 40 to 398 of the family's 3401-position model. Lineage: Eukaryota; Fungi. The record is from RNAcentral.